Molecule: long non-coding RNA, 1195 nt
Organism: Culex pipiens pallens (northern house mosquito)
Lineage: Eukaryota; Metazoa; Arthropoda; Insecta; Diptera; Culicidae
Exons: 2
Source: RefSeq, a predicted model, not a curated record
GAACGAGUCCAGCGCGUCCCAGCUGAAGCUUUUGGUUAGUUUUUUGGUGACAACUGGUUUGCUCUGGGUCUGCCACGUCGUCCAGAUUGUCCUGAUCGUUCAUGUUCAUCUGUUUGGGGACCAGCGGUCACUGCUUCGCCACCACCUCCGUUCGCUGGGUUUACCACUGUUAUAGAGCUUGCGUAUCCAUUGCUUCUACGGUCUUGUCGUAGUCCAUAGCGGCGUUCAAGGCCCCGCCAGCGGUCGGAAGAAAUCCCAGCUCGGUGCCGAUGUUGGUCCUAUGUGGUUCCGGAAUCGUACUCCUGCGACACGACCCAGACGUUCCGCAAACAAAACGCGAAAAGGGGCAAAAUAGCAAAAUUGAACCCUCUGCCCCGAUGACGGUCGGUUUGCGUGUGGCUGGCAGAAGUGCUUUUUCCGUCGUCAAAAUCCGCUCCUUCCGCCCGUUCCGGAAGUUCUCCGGCUGCACCAGCAGCGGCCCAACACGGUUCAGGUCCAGCGGGUGGUCACGGCAUCGGAAGACAAAUAAGUCUAAAUUGCGAAAAACUCUUCACGCUAACCAUUCGAUCUCAAUUUUUGAGAAAAACGUCGCAAAAACGAGAUCGAUUCUGCCAACUCAAUUUUUGCGAUCAGUUUCUUUUGUUUACAUUCGCAAUUUUGAGUUGGCAAGAGCGAACUCAGCGUUGAGAUGACUGUUAGCGGUUUUCAAUCAGUCUUCUGCAGUUUGUCAGUGGUCGCUGUCAAGAUCAAACCACGUGGAAGUUUGGUCCUUGUUUAUAAGAGAAAUUUGUGAAAUUGCGUGAAUUAGUAGUAUGAAAAUUUGUACAGCUUGUACUCCCGGCAGCGGUUUGUCCGCGUCCCAGCCAGUCCGUGUUUCGGCAACUCGUCCGCGUUCCAGAAGGUGGGAAGUUCAUCCUCCCGGUAGUGGUUAGUAUGCGUCCCAGCAGCGGCCCGCGUUUCGGCAACUAGACCACGAUCCGGAGGGUCGUUCUUCCGGCAGUAGUUUGUGCGCGUCCCAGCAGCGGCCCCAUUCCGGAGGGUCGUCCUCUCGGCAGCUGUCCGCGUUCCGGCAAUUCGACCUUGUUCCUUAGGGUCCGCUUUGUCCUCUCGGCUGUAGAUUUGUCAGUAACUUAAUAUUUAUUUCAUGUAAAAUGGUAAAAAUGCUUCAAAUAAAGAGAAAACUUUUCGAUUUUCA